UGGACGGGAAGGAGGGAGUAAGGAAGGAAGGGAGGUAAGGUAGAAGAAAGGAAAGAAGGAAGGUUUGAAGGGAAGGAUGGAAGGAAGGGAAGGGGGAAGGAAAGCAGGAAGGAAGGAUGAAAGGCUGGAAGGGAAUGGAGGGAGGAAGGACGAAAGGGUGGAAGGGAAGGAGGGAGGGAGAGAGAGGGACGCAAAGGAGGGAGGGAAGGC
Anolis sagrei ordinatus is the source of this 210-nucleotide non-coding RNA. Lineage: Eukaryota; Metazoa; Chordata; Lepidosauria; Squamata; Anolidae. The record is from RefSeq and is a predicted model, not a curated record.